Molecule: ribosomal RNA, 425 nt
Filed under: uncultured Actinomycetes bacterium
Lineage: Bacteria; Bacillati; Actinomycetota; Actinomycetes
Description: bacterial SSU rRNA
Rfam family: Bacterial small subunit ribosomal RNA
Source: RNAcentral
CUUAACCUCGGAAUUGCAGUCGAAACUGUUGUGACUCGAGUCCGGUAGAGGAGAAUGGAAUUCCCGGUGUAGCGGUGAAAUGCGCAGAUAUCGGGAGGAACACCAGUAGCGAAGGCGGUUCUCUGGGCCGGCACUGACGCUGAGGAGCGAAAGCGUGGGGAGCGAACAGGAUUAGAUACCCUGGUAGUCCACGCCGUAAACGUUGGAUACUAGGUGUGGCGGUUCGUACCAACGGCUGCCGUGCCGAAGCUAACGCAUUAAGUAUCCCGCCUGGGGAGUACGGCCGCAAGGCUAAAACUCAAAGGAAUUGACGGGUCCCCGCACAAGCGGCGGAGCAUGCGGCUUAAUUCGAUGCAACCCGAAGAACCUUACCUGGGUUUGACAUCACGGGAAAAGCUGUGGAAACACAGUGUCCAUUAGGGCCC